Molecule: ribosomal RNA, 225 nt
Filed under: uncultured bacterium
Lineage: Bacteria
Description: partial 16S ribosomal RNA
Rfam family: Bacterial small subunit ribosomal RNA
Source: RNAcentral
GAUCCUGGCUCAGGAUGAACGCUAGCUACAGGCUUAACACAUGCAAGUCGAGGGGCAGCAUGACGAUAGCUUGCUAUUGUUGAUGGCGACCGGCGCACGGGUGAGUAACGCGUAUCCAACCUGCCCCUUUGUCCCAUCGGAUAACCCGUCGAAAGGCGGCCUAACACGAUAUGCAGUUCUCAGCAGGCAUCUAACGAGAACGAAAUGUGAAGGAGAAGGAUGGGG